AUACGGAGGAUGCAAGCGUUAUCCGGAUUUAUUGGGUUUAAAGGGUGCGUAGGCGGUUUGCUAAGCGGGAGGUGAAAUGCCGGCGCUCAACGUCGGAAGUGCCUCCCGAACUGGUGGACUUGAAUGACUCUGCCGUGGGAGGAAUGUGUAGUGUAGCGGUGAAAUGCUUAGAGAUUACACAGAACACCGAUUGCGAAGGCAUCUCACGAAGGGUUGAUUGACGCUGAGGCACGAAAGCGUGGGGAUCAAACAGGAUUAGAUACCCUGGUAGUCCACGCAGUAAACGAUGAUGGCUAACCGCUGGGCUUAUCAGUUCAGUGGCCAAGCGAAAGCGAUAAGCCAUCCACCUGGGGAGUACGGCCGCAAGGUUGAAACUUAAAGGAAUUGACGGGG
RNAcentral lists this ribosomal RNA (393 nucleotides) under uncultured bacterium. Its description in RNAcentral is "partial 16S ribosomal RNA". It matches the Rfam family "Bacterial small subunit ribosomal RNA", at positions 523 to 918 of the family's 1533-position model. The record is from RNAcentral.